UCGGUUGACACACACCAAGCCAAAUACACAGCUUAAAACUAAACUGUGUCCAUGGCCUCCCCUCGCUAUCUAUCUGCCCGCUCCAAAGCACGCCGUCACCUUCGUUUACGGCGGGUGCACGAGCUAGCUUCGAACGAGUCUCCGAGGAUCAAGCUAGCUACUGUACUCUGUAGUUCACAGCCAUCUCAGGUGCGGAACCCCUCGGAGAGAGAGUUUGGAUAUAUUAUUGGCGAAUAUAAUGGUGAUUGCGUCGGCACGUCUGCUCGCUUGAUCGGGAACAUCAUCGGCAACUCGUAAUGCCUGCACCACUGCAGUCUACAUCUCAGCAAGGUUUUGUCGACAUGGGAUGGAUAGGCGCUUGCGCACUUGCUACACAGAGGACAUGAUGGGACGGAAGAAUUGCGCAGCGUCGUGGCGUUUAAUUUCGUCGUCGAGGAAGCUGCACAGCUGGUAGUAUGUGAUCCAGUCCGGGACUCUAUGGAGAAAGGGGAAAAAAAAGAGACAGCUUAUUUUCAUCAUGGAUAAAAUACCCGACAAUUUGCUACACAAGGGGUUCUAUUGAUGCAUUAAUAUUUCAACUUGUUAAGACAGAUGAUCAAUUCAUGUAUUGAAGGUAAUGCUAACAUUAUGCUGGUCACCUGCAGAAAGAAAGAGAUGCCUCAAUAAAAGUCAAUUUGUUCGAGAUGAGAUAAAGAAAAGAGUUUAGAGACGACUCAAAAAAUUUCGAAAGGUUUUUCUUUUGAUAUAACGAUAUAUACAGGUACGUCCGCCCUCCGUUGUAUCUAAUUGUAAGUCUGCCUUUCCCUUUUUCUGAAAUCCUCCAUUCUAAAUUAUAAAACGAUUUAAUCUUUCUAGAUAUGUAGCUUUUGCUUUGUACUUAGAUGUACACACUAUAUCAAUCUAGUUAACUAUAUACUAGUAAAAAUAAUAUAUAGAAAAGUUAAUUUUCUACGAAGGAAAUACGAAAUUACUACUACCAGCUCUGUAUGAAAAAAUUGACACUCUAGAUUUGUAUUGGAAAAAGAUGCUAAUUUUCUAUUGCACGAAAAAAAGUUCUGUGGUCGAUAUCACGGGGAUCCCAUGAUUCCAAUCGGGUGGCUAAACUCUAUGACAAUGAUUCGUAGGUCUUGGUCGAGAAAUUCUAACAUAUCUACCUACUUUAUUUUGUUAAAAAAAAUUAAAAGUACAUACACCUUUUACAUAUAAAAUCCAACGUCUAGGGUGCAAAAGAAUGUUUACAGCUAGCUGGAUCUUUCGAAAAAAUAUUACUGUAUUAUAGUAGCUAAUAGUAACCUAGCCUUCUCUAAAUAUUAAGCACUAGAGUUUUAACUUAAAAUGUGGAUUGAUAAAUACACUAACAUGUACAACUUCAAACUAAUCUUAUUAAAUUAGUGUAUGAUCAUAAACUAAUUAGGCUUAAAAAGAAUCGUCUGACAAAUUAUUCUCUUGUUGUGUUUUUAGUUUUAUAAAUAAUCUAAAUAUAAUACUUUAUUACAUGUGUCCAAAUAUUCGGUGUGAUAGGAAAUAAAGUUUAAUAGAAGGAACCAAACAGGGCCUCAGUAAUAAAGACUACAUUCUAGGACACAUAGUCAUUAUUUUUUUUAAUAAAAUAAAAACGAGUUUUGAAUAAAAAGGUAUUAAGCAUAUGAGCUUAACUUAACAUGAAGAUAAAGGUUUGUAAGUCAAAAUUUAGAUUCAUGAUUAGGGAUGAAAACGAAAAUGAUAAUCUCAGAUUUUCGAAAAUCAUUUUUGAGUUUUUUUUCGACUGUUAGGUCUAAAUGAAAAUGAUAACGGUAACCGAAAAAACAAAAACGAUAAUAAUAAUAAUACUAAAAAACAAAAGCGAAAAUGAUUUUGCCUUCUUCUGAUCGUUUUCGAAGAUUUCCGUAUUUAACUAGUAAUUUACCAUCGAUAUUUACCAAUUCAAAGAUCUUUAAUUAAUGACAUGACUGAUAUUCUACAACUUCUAAGAGGAACUCUAAUAAUUCAUGUGUUGAUCACUAUGCUAUGUCGAGUUAACUUGGAACAUGAUUAUUUAUAUUGUGUCUUUGUCAAGAAUUGUUGUACUGUUGCGUGGUUUGCUACUGUUUGAGACCUAAGAUGAUGUGAUGUGUGUGGUUUCAGCUUGUGAUCUUGUCAAUUAUGGCUUUAUUUAUCAUUAUCAUGUGAGAUAGGUUGAGUUAUAUAGAUCUUUUUAUGUUCGA
Molecule: long non-coding RNA, 2204 nt
Organism: Sorghum bicolor (sorghum)
Lineage: Eukaryota; Viridiplantae; Streptophyta; Magnoliopsida; Poales; Poaceae
Exons: 3
Source: RefSeq, a predicted model, not a curated record